Molecule: ribosomal RNA, 301 nt
Filed under: uncultured bacterium
Lineage: Bacteria
Description: partial 16S ribosomal RNA
Rfam family: Bacterial small subunit ribosomal RNA
Source: RNAcentral
CAGUAGCCACGGUAAAACGAAGGGGGCUAGCGUUGUUCGGAUUUACUGGGCGUAAAGGGCGCGUAGGCGGACUGAUAAGUCAGGGGUGAAAUCCCAAGGCUCAACCUUGGAACUGCCUUUGAUACCGUUUGUCUUGAGUUCGAGAGAGGUAAGUGGAACUGCGAGUGUAGAGGUGAAAUUCGUAGAUAUUCGCAAGAACACCAGUGGCGAAGGCGGCUUACUGGCUCGAAACUGACGCUGAGGCGCGAAAGCGUGGGGAGCAAACAGGAUUAGAGACCCCUGUAGUCCCUGUCUCUUAUAC